GAUAACACUUAGUAAUCGUACAACUACAUGCUCUGUCCUCUUUUAUAGAUUCAAUUUUUUCUCUCACGUAUAUGAUUUUGCAGAGAGGACGACCAAGUAGAUCCCCAGAAGUAGAUCAGCCUCCUUACAAACAACCUUCCUCUCAUUCCACCUGGGAACUUUUAAACGCCGUCUAUGACCUAGCAAUUGAGAAUGAAGAUUCUCCCGUCGACCCCUUUCUUCGAUUAUUCAAUGCAUGACACCCUGCGAAUCAUUAAAUAGUAGUUAAUGAGACUUGCUUUCUACAGCAAAGUCUUUGAGCGCAUGCAAUCAUGAGCAUUUGAAUGAUCUCAAAGAUUGGAAACAAUUCCAAGAACAUUGAUGGUACCAAUGGAAUUGGAACCUAGAAAAAUCCUUUAUGAGCAAACAAUAUUACUGCUGAACAUUCUUUCUUUAGUUAAAGGUGAACAGUAUAUAUACUGCUUGCACCUUACAGUAGUUAUGCUUGAAAAGGACACAAAUUUGGUUUAUAUUUUUGGGAAACUAUUUAAAUGUUCAGUUAAAUCUUAGUUAGCUCUAAAGAAUCAUUGAUAUUUUAACAUAGUUUGCCAUAUGACACAAAUUAAUUUGUGUAUGGCUGCAAAUUUGGUGAAAUACAAUGAUAUAAUGAUAAAUGGGUAAAAACCACUCUAUGC
This is a non-coding RNA of Arachis ipaensis, 674 nucleotides long. NCBI's taxonomy places the organism in Eukaryota, Viridiplantae, Streptophyta, Magnoliopsida, Fabales, Fabaceae. The record is from RefSeq and is a predicted model, not a curated record.